GUAAAAUCUUAAGGCUUUCUGCAGUGCUUAUAGAUAUGCUUUCUGUGUGACAGUCAUUUAGUCUACCCAGCCAUCCAUAUAGUGAAGAUAUUGCACAUUUUCCCUUUCUCUAUUCAGAUAAAUCAACUGCUGUUUUUAGUUUGAUUACUCUUCAGUUUAUGGAGUUCAUCUUAUGCAUCCCUUCUCCUAGGUUCUGCUCCAAGGAAGACUGCCUUUUGCUGGGCCUGUGGCUUGCAUGACUGCAAAUGAAUAGAGUAGAAUACUUCAGUCAUUUGAGAGUCAUGUUACUGGUCCUGAAACAAAACUGUUGUGACAAGUUGUUGAAUGGAAGACUUUCCAAGAAAUCAAUCCUUCAUACCAGAAAGACUUGCAGACAAGGUGCAGUGCCAUGCAGAAUCAGGCCUCAUUUCUUACCACCAGAGGAGUUGUACUUGAUAACCAAGACCUGCAGAAAUAAAUAUGUGAAAACAGCAAUAACUUCAGAUGAGCAUCUAAAACACUCAGACCCUGGAAGACAAGAGGAUGACAGCAGCAGGUGGCUUUACCUUUCCCUGGACACUUAGAGAUACAGGCACUGACCAGUCCCUGUUAGUGAGCUUCCUGGGGGAAUCAGGCUUUGCAAGAAGCUGAGUACAAGAUACCCUUACAUAAGUGUGAUGUGUAGAUUUUUUUUUAUUUUUUUUUGUUCUGCCUUAUUAAUGAUCUGGAGCAAUGGUAGCAGUAGAUUGCUCCUGCAGUGUUUAUUUAUUUAUUUAUUUAUUGACAGCAAGGAACAGCCUAAUAUUGCUUCUGUUGCAGUCCCUGCAAGAAAUGUAGGUCAGUACAGAAAAUAGUACGGCAUUGUUUCCUUAUCCUUGGAAUUGGCAGACAGGUGAGAGAAAUAGGGAUGCUCACCUUUUAGUCAACCAGAGGCACCUUACAGGGAAAGAUGGUUGGUCUAUCUUAACACAAAAAAAAAAAAAAAAAAAAAAGUACAAUGAAAUGCCAUAAGCUGGUGACAUGGCUGUUCCAGUUUGAGUUUCAUCUUGUGAAUUGGUUAGCCUUACACAAAUGGAAUUGAAAUUUGAUCUGCUUGCUUUUUUUUUCUCUUGUAAAAUUCAGGCAUUCCGACCAGCAAGUCACUGGAUUUUUUUGCUAGAAAAUAUGCUUUUCAUAUGCUUAGUUUUCUGUGUAGUUUACACUGAAAUGAAUCUGAGAGUAUUUCUGUGUAUGACAGUAAUGAAUUGAUGUUAGUAGAAAUUCUGUCUUGCUAUGUGUAGCAUUUCUAAAAGAAUUUAUUUUACUCUUAAUAUCACUACAGGGAUUUUAAAACAGAUAAUUUGAAAAGCAAUUCCUU
Molecule: long non-coding RNA, 1336 nt
Filed under: Anas platyrhynchos platyrhynchos (common mallard)
Lineage: Eukaryota; Metazoa; Chordata; Aves; Anseriformes; Anatidae
Description: lncRNA (ENSAPLG00000020961.1)
Source: RNAcentral